This 384-nucleotide ribosomal RNA is filed under the name uncultured bacterium. Its description in RNAcentral is "bacterial SSU rRNA". It matches the Rfam family "Bacterial small subunit ribosomal RNA", at positions 29 to 438 of the family's 1533-position model. The record is from RNAcentral.
AACGAACGCUGGCGGCAGGCUUAACACAUGCAAGUCGAACGGGUGUAGCAAUACAUCAGUGGCAGACGGGUGAGUAACACGUGGGAACCUUCCUAGGGGUACGGAACAACUCAGGGAAACUUGAGCUAAUACCGUAUACGUCCGUGAGGAGAAAGAUUUAUCGCCCUUAGACGGGCCCGCGUCGGAUUAGCUAGUUGGUGGGGUAACGGCCUACCAAGGCGACGAUCCGUAGCUGAUCUUAGAGGAUGAUCAGCCACACUGGGACUGAGACACGGCCCAGACUCCUACGGGAGGCAGCAGUGGGGAAUCUUGGACAAUGGGCGCAAGCCUGAUCCAGCCAUGCCGCGUGAGUGAAGAAGGUCUUCGGAUUGUAAAGCUCUUUUG